RNAcentral lists this long non-coding RNA (441 nucleotides) under Gallus gallus (chicken). RNAcentral describes it as "long non-coding RNA NONGGAT005455". The record is from RNAcentral. Lineage: Eukaryota; Metazoa; Chordata; Aves; Galliformes; Phasianidae.
GGACUCCAGGAUGCUUUACCAUCUUCAGGUUGCGUGCACUGAAGAAGAAGGGAGGCCAAGCCCAGUUGAAGGCCAGCUGAGCCCCAUAGAGGCCAAGCGGGAUGAUAGCUUUGCUGCUGCAGCCGCCCAGGUCAUUCCAUAUCAGUGAUGAACCAGCCGAGGAAACCCCCGACGUGAGGCAGGACAGUAAAACCUACGGUGUAAGCCCACAUCCUUCCUCGGUGACGUGAAGUGGUCUUUUGCCUAUUGCAGCUUAAAAACAGCAAUUGAUCAUCAGUUUGGAAAGACAUCUUUUCUUGCUUUGAUCUUCCGGGCCUUUUCUCUGAUGCCCAUACUCUGCUUUAGUGGAUUGUGCUUCAUUUGUAUUCAGCUUUGCUGCUGCCUUCCCUCUGCCCAGGCCGUGAAGUGGGGGUAAUUAUUUCUACCACGGUUACAUUUUCC